This is a small nuclear RNA of Xenopus tropicalis (tropical clawed frog), 186 nucleotides long. Its record names the gene U2. It matches the Rfam family "U2 spliceosomal RNA". Rfam says of the family: U2 is a small nuclear RNA (snRNA) component of the spliceosome (involved in pre-mRNA splicing). NCBI's taxonomy places the organism in Eukaryota, Metazoa, Chordata, Amphibia, Anura, Pipidae. The record is from Ensembl.
AUCGCUUCUCUGCCUUUUGGCUAAGAUCAAGUGUAGUAUCAAAAUGAGAAACACUUGGUCCUCUGGCCUUAAGGUUGCCAAGCAGAAGCUUGAUGAAAGCGGAGGAGCUGUGUUCCUAUAAGGGAGGGCUGCUGGCUUAUUUUUAGUUGGGGGCUUUGCACAUGCUCCUCCUGCCUAAUCAUGCUU